CUCUGUGACUCCUACGGGAGGCAGCAGUGGGGAAUAUUGCACAAUGGGCGCAAGCCUGAUGCAGCAACGCCGUGUGAGUGAAGAAGGUUUCGGAUCGUAAAACUCUGUCCUAAGGGAAGAAACAAAUGACGGUACCUUAGGAGGAAGCCCCGGCUAACUACGUGCCAGCAGCCGCGGUAAUACGUAGGGGGCAAGCGUUAUCCGGAAUCACUGGGCGUAAAGGGUGCGUAGGCGGCUUGACAAGCCAGGGGUGAAAGGCAUUGGCUCAACCAAUGUAAGCCUUUGGAACUGUUAAGCUUGAGUGCAGGAGAGGUAAGUGGAAUUCCUAGUGUAGAGGUGAAAUUCGUAGAUAUUAGGAGGAACACCAGUGGCGAAGGCGACUUACUGGACUGUAACUGACGCUGAUGCACGAAAGCGUGGGUAGCGAACAGGAUUAGAUACCCUGGUAG
This 449-nucleotide ribosomal RNA is filed under the name uncultured bacterium. Its description in RNAcentral is "bacterial SSU rRNA". It matches the Rfam family "Bacterial small subunit ribosomal RNA", at positions 328 to 793 of the family's 1533-position model. The record is from RNAcentral.